GAUGAACGCUGGCGGCGUGCCUAAUACAUGCAAGUCGAGCGAACGGACGAGAAGCUUGCUUCUCUGAUGUUAGCGGCGGACGGGUGAGUAACACGUGGAUAACCUACCUAUAAGACUGGGAUAACUUCGGGAAACCGUAGCUAAUACCGGAUAAUAUUUUGAACCGCAUGGUUCAAAAGUGAAAGACGGUCUUGCUGUCACUUAUAGAUGGAUCCGCGCUGCAUUAGCUAGUUGGUAAGGUAACGGCUUACCAAGGCAACGAUGCAUAGCCGACCUGAGAGGGUGAUCGGCCACCUUGGAACUGAGACACGCUCCAGACUCCUACGGGAGGCAGCAGUAGGGAAUCUUCCGCAAUGGGCGAAAGCCUGACGGAGCAACGCCGCGUGAGUGAUGAAGGUCUUCGGAUCGUAAAACUCUGUUAUUAGGGAAGAACAUAUGUGUACGUAACUGUGCACAUCUUGACGGUACCUAAUCAGAAAGCCACGGCUAACUACGUG
RNAcentral lists this ribosomal RNA (497 nucleotides) under uncultured bacterium. Its description in RNAcentral is "partial 16S ribosomal RNA". It matches the Rfam family "Bacterial small subunit ribosomal RNA", at positions 28 to 507 of the family's 1533-position model. The record is from RNAcentral.